This 253-nucleotide ribosomal RNA is filed under the name uncultured bacterium. RNAcentral describes it as "partial 16S ribosomal RNA". It matches the Rfam family "Bacterial small subunit ribosomal RNA", at positions 524 to 776 of the family's 1533-position model. The record is from RNAcentral.
UACGGAGGGUGCAAGCGUUAUCCGGAUUCACUGGGUUUAAAGGGUGCGUAGGUGGGCAAGUAAGUCAGUGGUGAAAUCUCCGGGCUUAACCCGGAAACUGCCAUUGAUACUAUUUGUCUUGAAUAUCCUGGAGGUGAGCGGAAUAUGUCAUGUAGCGGUGAAAUGCUUAGAUAUGACAUAGAACACCAAUUGCGAAGGCAGCUGGCUACGCGAAUAUUGACACUGAUGCACGAAAGCGUGGGGAUCAAACAGG